This 466-nucleotide ribosomal RNA is filed under the name uncultured bacterium. RNAcentral describes it as "partial 16S ribosomal RNA". It matches the Rfam family "Bacterial small subunit ribosomal RNA", at positions 28 to 507 of the family's 1533-position model. The record is from RNAcentral.
GAUGAACGCUGGCGGCGUGCUUAACACAUGCAAGUCGAACGAUGAAGCCCAGCCUGCUGGGUGGAUUAGUGGCGAACGGGUGAGUAACACGUGAGUAACCUGCCCUUAACUCUGGGAUAAGCCUGGGAAACUGGGUCUAAUACCGGAUAGGAGCGCCUACCGCAUGGUGGGUGUUGGAAAGAUUUAUCGGUUUUGGAUGGACUCGCGGCCUAUCAGCUUGUUGGUGAGGUAAUGGCUCACCAAGGCGACGACGGGUAGCCGGCCUGAGAGGGUGACCAGCCACACUGGGACUGAGACACGGCCCAGACUCCUACGGGAGGCAGCAGUGGGGAAUAUUGCACAAUGGGCGAAAGCCUGAUGCAGCGACGCCGCGUGAGGGAUGACGGCCUUCGGGUUGUAAACCUCUUUCAGUAGGGAAGAAGCGAAAGUGACGGUACCUGCAGAAGAAGCACCGGCUAACUACGUG